RNAcentral lists this microRNA (22 nucleotides) under Monodelphis domestica (gray short-tailed opossum). RNAcentral's name for it is "mdo-miR-7277-3p". Lineage: Eukaryota; Metazoa; Chordata; Mammalia; Didelphimorphia; Didelphidae. The record is from miRBase by way of RNAcentral.
CGGGGCAGAGAUGACCAGGGGA